CCUACAUGCAAAUAUAUAUCAAUUUAAUUAUGUUAGAAAGGAAACUUUUCAUAUAAAUUCGUGGAUAACAAAAAGGCUAAUGAAAAAAAAAACCUAAACGCAAUUAAUUUAAACGAUUAAUGCCCAGUUUUCUCAAUAUAGAUUCACUUUAAUCUCAACUUAUUCUUUAUCUUUUUCUAGUUCUAAGAAUUAAAAAAAGAUAGGUUAAAUCGAAAUUAAAGUUAAUCUACAUUGGUACAAAUGGAUAUAAGAAAUGGCAGCAAAAAAUUGAAUUACAAAUGGAAAUUAAGAAUUGUGCUUACCAUUUUACAGCGCUUCUUAGCAUUAUUUGAUACUACGCGUUUUUCCCGCACAAUUUCGAGGGAUUUAUCAGGAGACCCUGACAGUGAGUUGAAGUAUAUCGCAGGUUUCCUCUGACUAGACUUGCACCUUAUUUUGCUCAUCAAGGUGGGAUGUAAUCGCUACAAAAGUAACAAAAAGAGAGUAAUCGAAAUUCCUUUAGAGAUCAUAAUCUACAAUAAUAAAAGAAGAUCUAUUGAAAGUUGGACACAGUCACUGGCGUAUAAUUAAUUAUAUAAUAAUUACAUAAAGCAAUUCUAAAUUUAGAGUGAAUUUUAGAUGAUUUAUUGUUAAAAAUCAAGGUGAAAAGGUGCCUUUCAUAUCAAAAUAAAUCCUUACAUUUUUCCUUUAAAAUAUCCUUAAAGGAAGUUGAGAAAAUUAGAUUUUUACUUUUUUUACUUAAAAUAUUUAUUUAAUGACAAAAAUAAAAGAAACAAAAAAUUAAUAAAGGAAAUCAAAGCCUAAGACAUAUAACAGUUCAUAUUUAGUUCAAAGUUAGUUAUAAUUUAGUUCAAAGUCAGUUUAGAUUAAUUCUGUGAUGAUUAAAUAUCUCAAUUCAUUUUGUUAUCUAUAUACUAUUUUAAUCUUGUUUUAAGUUAUCUUUUUUAUUAGGUUUAUAUAAAAGGUGUCACAAUUUUUACAAUUAAUUUUAUAUACUACAUUAUUAUUAGUUGUUAGAGUCCUUUGUUCUUUAGAAACUUUUUAUUUCUAAUCAAGCUUUCUAACACAUCUUUUCAAACAAUCAUAUUCUGGCUCAUAUUCUGAUAAAACACUGAAUGAGGAUCGCCACUUUUUUCCCUGGUACAGGAUUAAAAAAAAUAUUAAUGAAUAUCUUUAUUAGAAAUGUCUGAAAUCCACUAAAUUUCAUAUCUUUAACUUGAUUUGAGGAAGUCCAAAAUUUGAGAAAAAAAAUAAAAAUCUAAUUUUCUUUUGGAGGAAUGAAUUUAUAUAUGUGAAACAUCCUCGUUAAUUUUUUUACAAAAACAAUACCCCAAAUUUUUCGCAUAUAUUUGGAAUCACCCUGUAUAAUAAAUUAUACAAUUGUAAAUAUAAAAAGAAUAAUAAAACGAGUUAUCAAAAAGAGUAAUAAAACAAUAUUAAAUGCAAAAACAGAUGAUAACUGGCGCUCAGGCUGUCUGACUGACCCUUCUUUCAACUUUGUGGUUUCAUAUCAAGAAGCCUUCUUUUCAUUCUACUGAUCUACACUAAUCAAUUCCAUCAGCUUUUAACAAUUUACCUUUACAUGACUAAGAAAAUUUCCUGUAGAUUUCAGAUUGCCAUUCAACUGUUUCUUACACUGCUGACAACGCACUGUGACAUUGGUGUCUUCCACCCUAGUUACAGCAAAGUAUUCUCCAUCCAAUAAAGCAGGCAAUCUAACCGGAAUCAUCUUCUGUUCGGCAUUCGACUCUAUAUGCGUCACCUGACUGAACGAUGUCGCACUGAUGAUUCGCCGCGACUAUAGAUUCAUCGUACGUCUCGAACGUUUCCAUCUUGCUCUCGUAAUCCUGUGUGAAGGUAUCCAUAACAGCGGAGUGUAUGCAGGCCUCGCUGGUGGAUAUGACAGCAAUCGAACGUCGCGGUGACACUACCUAUCGUCGGAAUCUUAUUGAAUUUUAGAUAAGCUGAGCCAGAUAAGAGCUGUCGCCCGGGGCAAAUCUAGAUCAGAUAAUAGAUGAGAAGCAUGUGUGAGUUAGAGAUUAAAUGUAUCGUGCGUACCAACUUACAUCCGAUCAAGGUUGCGGCGCCCGGGGUUACGUCCGCGCGUCGCUAGGGCCAGGGCGGCCGGGUGAGAAACGCUGGACGUUCCAUACGCGCUGUUCCCCUCCGUAAACACGUAAACGAAUAACAAUAGUUGCCUCCGACAAUUCUUCUAUUGUCCGAGUGUGGUGGCGGCACUGAAGUAAACAAGACAUCUUUAGAGCUCGGUCUCGUUAUUACGCAUUAAUAUUUCUCGUAACUUAAUACAUAUAAUUAUGAAUAA
Solenopsis invicta (red fire ant) is the source of this 2323-nucleotide long non-coding RNA. RefSeq lists it as uncharacterized. The transcript is spliced from 3 exons. The record is from RefSeq and is a predicted model, not a curated record. NCBI's taxonomy places the organism in Eukaryota, Metazoa, Arthropoda, Insecta, Hymenoptera, Formicidae.